AGGUAGCCGGUUUAGGGCCGAAGGCCCCCCUCGGUAAAGCGCGUCCUUGGUAAGGACGAGACCGGGGGUUCAAAUCCCCCCUCAGGCUU
This 89-nucleotide transfer RNA is filed under the name Haloarcula virus HCTV-10. Its description in RNAcentral is "tRNA-Thr". It matches the Rfam family "tRNA", at positions 14 to 71 of the family's 71-position model. From Rfam's summary of the family: Transfer RNA (tRNA) molecules are approximately 80 nucleotides in length. Their secondary structure includes four short double-helical elements and three loops (D, anti-codon, and T loops). RNAcentral also lists the same sequence under 9 other names. Lineage: Duplodnaviria; Heunggongvirae; Uroviricota; Caudoviricetes; Thumleimavirales; Hafunaviridae. The record is from RNAcentral.